Molecule: long non-coding RNA, 994 nt
Organism: Drosophila willistoni
Lineage: Eukaryota; Metazoa; Arthropoda; Insecta; Diptera; Drosophilidae
Exons: 3
Source: RefSeq, a predicted model, not a curated record
CAAUACUUCCAUCUCUAACUACCUUGAUUAAAUAGAUUGGUCAUUUGUAAACAUGCCUAAAGAAAAUUAUAAAGAAAAAGUUAGAGACGUCUGGCUACAGAGCUCAGAAUUCAAGGAAUGGCUGAGAAAGGACUUGACUGAUUUGACAAGGGCUUAUUAACAAAUGCUUCCAAAGCAAUACUUCAAAUCCAUCGAAAUUGUUAAACGAGCUAAUAUUUGCCAUCAAUUCACUAAAAAUCUACAUAAUAGCUCCAGAUAAAAGUGUAGAUUGUAUAAACGAUGAUGGAUUUGAAAAGUAUGUGACUAGAGACUUGUAUCUUGGAUAUGCUUUUGAAAAACAUAUCAAAUCUGUGAGUAUAUCCAAUGAUGAGGAAAAGUCGAUCCGAGAAAGUUGCACGAAUUUCGUAGUUGAUCUUGUUAAGCAACUAAAGCAGAGGUUACCCGACAAUUUUAAAAUCUUAAAACAAGCCGAUGCUUUUGCAGUAGAAAAUAUUUUAAAAACUAAAAAAAAAACAUCAUUCCGAUUUUGGAGUUUUUUGGAAUUCCCAAUAUUGACGAAAUUGAACGUCAAUACAAUGAAUUGACACUUAUCUCUUGGGAAAAUACUGAGGACACAAUUAAAUUUUGGGUUGAAGUAUUGAAUUACAGAGACUCGGGCGGAAACAACCGGUUUUCUAAGCUGAGUUCUGUUGCGCUUGAAAUACAUUCUUUACCUUGGUCGAACGCCGAAGUGGAAAGGGUUUUUAGCCAAGUUAAUUUAAUAAAAAAUAAAAUAAGAAAUAGGAUGAACGUUGACACGUUAAAUUCAAUAUUAACCAUAAGAUCCGGAUUGAGCCGACACAACAAAUGUUGCUUUGAUUACAAAGUUUCUUCAAUCUGCCUGAAGUCUAUAGAAAAUGUGGAACAAUUAGAUAAUGAGCCCGAACAGUCUGUAGACAAUCUAAUAGCAGGUUUAAUGUCAUUUAAAUGAACUUUAUAAGUUUAAAUUUCUUUU